RNAcentral lists this small RNA (130 nucleotides) under Escherichia coli. Its description in RNAcentral is "RtT sRNA". It matches the Rfam family "RtT RNA". From Rfam's summary of the family: This family represents a bacterial cis-regulatory element known as RtT RNA. The exact function of RtT is unknown although it is thought that it may be involved in changing the cellular response in relation to amino acid starvation. Lineage: Bacteria; Pseudomonadati; Pseudomonadota; Gammaproteobacteria; Enterobacterales; Enterobacteriaceae. The record is from RNAcentral.
AUUCUGCCCAUGCGGGGAAGGAUGAGAAGCUUCGACCAAGGUUCGACUCGAGCGCCAGCGAGAGAGCGUUGCCGCAGGCAGACCCGAAGGGCGAAGCGCGCAGCGCUGAGUAAUCCUUCCCCCACCACCA